Molecule: ribosomal RNA, 424 nt
Filed under: uncultured delta proteobacterium
Lineage: Bacteria; Deltaproteobacteria
Description: bacterial SSU rRNA
Rfam family: Bacterial small subunit ribosomal RNA
Source: RNAcentral
UGGGGAAUAUUGGGCAAUGGGGGCAACCCUGACCCAGCAACGCCGCGUGAGUGAUGAAGGCCUUCGGGUCGUAAAGCUCUGUUGGGGGAGACGAAACCGUAUGUUAACAACAUACGCUGACUUAACCCCCUGAGGAAGCACCGGCUAACUCUGUGCCAGCAGCCGCGGUAAUACAGAGGGUGCAAGCGUUGUUCGGAAUUAUUGGGCGUAAAGGGCGCGUAGGCGGCCUGGUAAGUUAGAUGUGAAAGCCCUGGGCUUAACCCAGGAACUGCAUUUGAUACUGCCAGGCUAGAGUGCGGUAGAGGAUAGUGGAAUUCCCGGUGUAGAGGUGAAAUUCGUAGAGAUCGGGAGGAACACCAGUGGCGAGAGCGGCUAUCUGGGCCGCAACUGACGCUGAGGCGCGAAAGCGUGGGUAGCAAACAGG